CCGCCCCCAGUGACCUCUGACACCGGGCCCAGCUGCGGUGUCUGCCCGAGGAGCUGUCAGCGGGUCCUUUGGGAACAAAGUGAAAUAAUCGUUUGGGGACACGUCGGGCUCAACUGGCUCUGUGUGUUCUCCUGACAAAGCCCCUGUGGGCGCCCCAAGUCAAGGACACGGGCACUCCCACAGCCUCGUGAGCGGCCGCUGCUGAAGACAGCUCCACACACACAGAGCACCUCAUGAAGACCGUCCCCACCCCAGAAGUCCCACACGGGCUCCACCCAGCAUGAUGCCCUGCGCCCCGUGACGGCUCCACCACCCCUGCACGCGUCACCCAGCAGAUGUCAGUGUCCAGGGCUGACCAAUGACAUCACCGGCAGAGGCGAGGUGGAGGGCGGCCUGAAAGCUCGGAGUUGCUCCACAAGAGGAAACCGGGGCAGCGUUAGAUGCUGCUUUUCUUCUUUUCAGGAAGGAGCGCCUGGACCUGGACAGCACCACCCAGCCCUUUCUGCACAGCUGGGGAGAACAGAAAGUGCCACAGCUUGGCGAGAACAGAUACCGACCGUCGCCGCAGAUUCUCCCAGGUGCGGUUGUUUGUUGACUUCGUUUCCACGUACGUCGCUGGAAAAAUGCUGACUGCCACGCACACCCUUCCGUCGUGCCACAUUUCGGCUUUGUGCUCAGGUCGCCGCACCUCUGAGCGCAGGGACCACGGACCACCUGUGUCUGCUGACAGGGACCACGGACCACCUGUGUCUGCUGCUGACAGGUACCAUGGACCACCUGUGUCUGCUGACAGGGGACCACAGACCACCUGUGUCUGCUGCUGACAGGGACCACGGACCACCUGUGUCUGCUGCUGACAGGGGACCACAGACCACCUGUGUCUGCUGACAGGGACCACAGACCACCUGUGUCUGCUAACAGGGGAUCACAG
RNAcentral lists this long non-coding RNA (931 nucleotides) under Oryctolagus cuniculus (rabbit). RNAcentral's name for it is "lncRNA (ENSOCUG00000036862.1)". Lineage: Eukaryota; Metazoa; Chordata; Mammalia; Lagomorpha; Leporidae. The record is from RNAcentral.